Molecule: long non-coding RNA, 1187 nt
Filed under: Pogona vitticeps (central bearded dragon)
Lineage: Eukaryota; Metazoa; Chordata; Lepidosauria; Squamata; Agamidae
Description: lncRNA (ENSPVIG00000013904.1)
Source: RNAcentral
CAGCUUCCGAGAGCAUCAAGCGCAACUCAAGAGGGUAUAGAGAUGCCUGCUGGGGAUGGGGGAUGAUAUAACGGAGCCUGUGGUUUGGAAAGUAUCAGGGCUUCGACCUGGUUGGCUUGCUAGGAAUGAUAGGCCUUGUACUCCACAAGGCAUCGGGAGGGAAGGUGCCAGACAUGUUAGGAGGGGCUGCCUUGGCAGUAUCUUCUCUUUCCAAGUCUUAUGGUUGGCCAGCUUUCAACACAAUCAUCUUCCUAAACACAGGACAAAGGGGACAUGGCAUUGCUUUGUUUGGCUGGGAUCUAUCCAGGGGCUCAGGUCUUCGAACAGAAAAAAGAAACCAUGCCAAAGCAUUCCUGAGUGGCACAUGCUAUAAUCUGAGUCUUUAUGGCUGCAAAGAGACUUGAAAGGGUGGCAGCCAUCGCUGGUGAAAUCCGUGAAGCCCAAGGAAGAUGCAGUGAGAGGUAUGUGAUCAAGAAAGGAAGCUUUGUCGCAUAAUUCCAUGCUCUUCCCUUAUGUCUUCAAGCUGGAUUUAAAAUCCCUCGGUCUAGGUUUCCUUCCAGAUUUGCAGUUCUAAGAUUAUUAGUGAGCGGAACACCGAUCACUGUGGGUUUUUCUCUAGGAAGGGACAAUUACCACCUAGUUUUCCAAGCAACACUAAGCAAGUUCAGCUUAUGUCUACUCUGCCUUCACUUGCUCAAAAUAUGUAGGAAAAAGGUGCUGGGCACCUUUAAAACCCAAUUAAAAACAUGGCUGUUUAUUCAGGCCUUCCCUCCAGCCAACUCUUGAUUUUUUCUUACUUUUCCUUUUUAUUUUUACUGCUGUUCUUGUUUGAUUAUUAUGUAUUUGUCUAUAGAAAGAAAGAAAGAAAGAAAGAAAGAAAGAAAGAAAGAAAGAAAGAAAGAAAGAAAGAAAGAAAGAAAGAAAGAAAGAAAAAAAGAAAAAAAGAAAAAAAGAAAAAGGAACAGUCUGGCACAUGAAGUGAGAAUGCCUGGUUGUCAAAAGUGUAUAAUGCAAUUCCAGGUUCCAAAUGAAGAAUAGUUAUUUAGAUUAAAACUGGGGGGGGGGGGAGAGAGAAAUUGGAUUGGUAGCAUCAAAAGAAAUGAAACUCUCUUUUUAUAAGAUGUUCUGUGUAACUCCUUUGAUUCCUUUUUUAAUCACAUGUUAACACACUCUGUAAUUUCUGUCAU